This 30-nucleotide non-coding RNA is filed under the name Rattus norvegicus (Norway rat). The record is from RNAcentral. Lineage: Eukaryota; Metazoa; Chordata; Mammalia; Rodentia; Muridae.
UAGUUGAUAAGGUGUUAUAAUAAGCAGAUU